RNAcentral lists this ribosomal RNA (497 nucleotides) under uncultured bacterium. RNAcentral's name for it is "partial 16S ribosomal RNA". It matches the Rfam family "Bacterial small subunit ribosomal RNA", at positions 28 to 507 of the family's 1533-position model. The record is from RNAcentral.
GAUGAACGCUGGCGGCGUGCCUAAUACAUGCAAGUCGAGCGAACAGACAAGGAGCUUGCUCCUCUGACGUUAGCGGCGGACGGGUGAGUCAUACGUGGAUAACCUAUCUAUAAGACUGGGAUAACUUCGGGAAACCGGAGUUAAUACCGGAUAAUAUAUUGAACCGCAUGGUUCAAUAGUGAAAGAUGGUUUUGCUGUCACUUAUAGAUGGAUCCGCGCCGCAUUAGCUAGUUGGUAAGGUAACGGCUUAACAAGGCAACGAUGCGUAGCCGACCUGAGAGGGUGAUCGGCCACACGGGAACUGAGACACGGUCCAGACUCCUACGGGAGGCAGCAGUAGGGAAUCUUCCGCAAUGGGCGAAAGCCUGACGGAGCAACGCCGCGUGAGUGAUGAAGGUCUUCGGAUCGUAAAACUCUGUUAUUAGGGAAGAACAAAUGUGUAAGUAACUAUGCACGUCCUGACGGUACCUAAUCAGAAAGCCACGGCUAACUACGUG